This 106-nucleotide transfer RNA is filed under the name Helianthus annuus (common sunflower). RNAcentral describes it as "hypothetical non coding rna". The stretch from base 32 to 105 matches the Rfam family "tRNA". From Rfam's summary of the family: Transfer RNA (tRNA) molecules are approximately 80 nucleotides in length. Lineage: Eukaryota; Viridiplantae; Streptophyta; Magnoliopsida; Asterales; Asteraceae. The record is from RNAcentral.
GGCGUGCGGGCGAUCCAGUGGAGACGCAGUGGGGCCUGUAGCUCAGAGGAUUAGAGCACGUGGCUACGAACCACGGUGUCGGGGGUUCGAAUCCCUCCUCGCCCAC